GACCGAUAGCGCAUAGUACCGUGAGGGAAAGGUGAAAAGAACCCCGGGAGGGGAGUGAAAAAGAACCUGAAACCCUGUGUUUACAAGCAGUGAAAGUGCAAGUUAGGCACGAUCACGUACUUUUUGUAGAACGGACCGGCGAGUUACGUUAUGCAGCAAGGUUAAGAACUGAAGGUUCGGAGCCGAAGCGAAAGCGAGUCUGAAUAGGGCGAUAGUUGCAUGACGUAGACCCGAAACCGGGUGACCUAUCCAUGAGCAGGUUGAAGUGGAGGUAAAGCUCCAUGGAGGACCGAACCAGACGUCUGUUGAAAAAGGCGGGGAUGACUUGUGGAUAGGGGAGAAAUUCCAAUCGAACCCGGAGAUAGCUGGUUCUCCUCGAAAUAGCUUUAGGGCUAGCCUCAUGGAUCAUUGAUGGGGGUAGAGCACUGAAUGUGCGCGGGGGCCACAAAGCCUACCAAACGCUAUCAAACUACGAAUACCAUACAAUGCAGACCAUGGGAGUCAGUCCGCGAGAGAUAAGUUCCGCGGGCAAAAGGGGAACACCCCAGAUCAACCGCUAAGGUCCCCAAGUUCACGUUAAGUGGAGAAGGAUGUGGAAUUGCACAGACAACCAGGAUGUUGGCUCAGAAGCAGCCACACAUUUAAAGAGUGCGUAAUAGCUCACUGGUCGAGUGAUUGUGCGCCGAAGAUGUCCGGGGCUAAACGUGACACCGAAGCGAUGGGUGCGUCUGAAGAAGAUGCGCGGUAGAGGAGCAAUGUGCAGAGGCAGAAGCCGUAUCGAGAGGCACGGUGGACACUGCACAAGAGAGAAUGCCGGUAUGAGUAGCGAGAGGCAUGCGAGAAACAUGCCCGUCGAAAGCCCAAGGUUUCCUGGGGAAGGUUCAUCCGCCCAGGGUAAGUCGGGGCCUAAGCCGAGGACGGAAGUCGUAGGCGAUGGACAGCAGGUGUAGAUUCCUGCACUACCGAUGGAAUGAAGCAGUGACACAGAAGGAUAACUCGAGCAGGGUGAUGGUCAACCCUGUGCAAGCAUCAAGGUUGGGUUGUAGUGAAGUACGCAAUCCUAUAAGCUGAGGUGUGAUGCGGACCGAAAUUUCAGUAGGGAAGCGAGUGAGUUCACGCUGGCGAGAAAAGCUGCUAGUACAUCCAAAGGUACCCGUACCGGAAACCGACGCAGGUGGGCGAGGAGAGAAUCCUGAGACGAACGGGAGAACCCUUGUUAAGGAACUCGGCAAAAUGACCCCGUAACUUCGGGAUAAGGGGUGCCUGCGAGAGCAGGCCGCAGAGAAUAGUCACAAGCGACUGUUUAGCAAAAACACAGGUAUCUGCGAAAGCGAGAGCUGACGUAUAGGUGCUGACACCUGCCCGGUGCUGGAAGGUUAAGGGAACAUGUUAGAGCAAUCGAAGCAUCGAACCGAAGCCCCAGUAAACGGCGGCCGUAACUAUAACGGUCCUAAGGUAGCGAAAUUCCUUGUCGGGUAAGUUCCGACCCGCACGAAUGGUGUAACGACUUGUGAGCUGUCUCAACAGGGGGCCCGGUGAAAUUGAAGUAUGGGUGAAGAUGCCCAUUACCCGCGACUGGACGGAGAGACCCCGUAGAGCUUUACUGCAGCCUGAUAUUGAGUUUCGGUAACUGAUGCACAGGAUAGGUGGGAGUCUGAGAGACAUGGGUUUCGGCUCAUGUGGAGACGGUGUUGGGAUACCACUCUUCGGUUACUGAAAUUCUAACAUAGCUCUGUGAAACCAGAGGAUGGACAGUGUCAGGUGGACAGUUUGACUGGGGCGGUCGCCUCCGAAAGAGUAACGGAGGCGCCCAAAGGUACCCUCAGAAUGGAUGGAAACCAUUCGAAGAGCGCAAAGGCAGAAGGGUGCCUGACUGCGAGAUUGACAAAUCGAGCAGAGACGAAAGUCGGGCUUAGUGAUCCGGCGGUAUUGAGUGGAAAAGCCGUCGCUUAACGGAUAAAAGCUACCUCGGGGAUAACAGGCUGAUCUCCCCCAAGAGUCCACAUCGACGGGGAGGUUUGGCACCUCGAUGUCGGCUCAUCGCAUCCUGGGGCUGUAUUCGGUCCCAAGGGUUUGGCUGUUCGCCAAUUAAAGCGGCACGCGAGCUGGGUUCAGAACGUCGUGAGACAGUUCGGUCCCUAUCCAUCGUGGGCGUAGGAGUCAUGAGAGGAGCUGUUCCUAGUACGAGAGGACCGGAAUGGACGCACCACUGGUGCAACUGUUGUCGUGCCAACGGCAUAGCAGGGAAGCGAAGUGCGGACGGGAUAAACGCUGAAGGCAUCUAAGCGUGAAGCCCACCUCAAGAAUAAGUGU
Molecule: ribosomal RNA, 2313 nt
Filed under: human gut metagenome
Description: bacterial LSU rRNA
Rfam family: Bacterial large subunit ribosomal RNA
Source: RNAcentral